Long non-coding RNA from Hemicordylus capensis (graceful crag lizard), 501 nucleotides. RefSeq lists it as uncharacterized. Lineage: Eukaryota; Metazoa; Chordata; Lepidosauria; Squamata; Cordylidae. The record is from RefSeq and is a predicted model, not a curated record. The transcript is spliced from 3 exons.
GGUGCCUUGUAUUAUAACAACCACAUUUGCUCUUAUAGUAUGGAUUGCAGCCAACCAUCUGCCUUUGACCUAUCAUAGCUAUGAAGACCUCUUUCCCCCUCUUGGUUGUCCUGGCCGUGCUGCUCAUUUCUGAUCUGGGAUUGACAGCUGUAAGGAAUGAAGCAUCAUGUGUAGAAGAAGAAGGCUUUUGCAAACAUUUGGCAUGUCCAAGCGGCAGUAAGAAAAUCGGAUUUUGUGGUUGGCUGAUCAUAUGUUGUGCCAAUUUGGAUAUCAGAUGUUGACCAAUCUGCUGAUGAACAGAUGGGAGCUCAUCCACAGUGCAUCUCUUCUUGAAGAAUCCUCCUCCUCAUGCCAGCCUAACAAACUCUCCUGUAUGGACUUUUGUCACCUGAAGAACCAAAAUGGGACCUUUGCUCUGAGCAUUUUGAAGCCCUGAUCCAAAUAACAACAAUGUAGAGUGCAAAUGAGUAUACAGGUUCCCCCCCCCGGGUUUGAAAGCAG